Molecule: ribosomal RNA, 499 nt
Filed under: uncultured bacterium
Lineage: Bacteria
Description: partial 16S ribosomal RNA
Rfam family: Bacterial small subunit ribosomal RNA
Source: RNAcentral
GACGAACGCUGGCGGCGUGCCUAAUACAUGCAAGUCGAGCGAAGUCUUUCUGAUGCUUGCCCUAGAAAAACUUCGCGGCGCACGGGUGAGUAACACGUAAAGAACCUGCCUCAUAGACUGGGACAACUGUUGGAAACGAUAGCUAAUAACGGAUAACAGUAUUUCUCGCAUGAGAGAUAUUUAAAAGUUGGUUAUGCUAACACUAUGAGAUGGCUUUGCGUUGCAUUAGCUAGUUGGUGGGGUAAAGGCCCACCAAGGCGACGAUGCAUAGCCGACCUGAGAGGGUGAUCGGCCACACUGGGACUGAGACACGGCCCAGACUCCUACGGGAGGCAGCAGUAGGGAAUCUUCCGCAAUGGGCGAAAGCCUGACGGAGCAACGCCGCGUGAGUGAAGAAGGAUUUCGGUUCGUAAAGCUCUGUUGUUAGGGAAGAAUGGAUGUGUAGUAACAAUACGUGGAAGUGACGGUACCUAACCAGAAAGCCACGGCUAACUACGUG